GAUGAACGCUGGCGGCGUGCCUAAUACAUGCAAGUCGAGCGAACGGACGAGAAGCUUGCUUCUCUGAUGUUAGCGGCGGACGGGUGAGUAACACGUGGAUAACCUACCUAUAAGACUGGGAUAACUUCGGGAAACCGGAGCUAAUACCGGAUAAUAUUUUGAACCGCAUGGUUCAAAAGUGAAAGACGGUCUUGCUGCCACUUAUAGAUGGAUCCGCGCUGCAUUAGCUAGUUGGUAAGGUAACGGCUUACCAAGGCAACGAUGCAUAGCCGACCUGAGAGGGAGAUCGGCCAAACUGGAACUGAGAAACGGUCCAGACUCCUACGGAAGGCAGCAGUAGGGAAUCUUCCGCAAUGGACGAAAGCCUGACGGAGCAACGCCGCGUGGGUGAUGAAGAUCUUCGGAUCGUAAAACUCUGUUAUUAGGAAAGAACAUAUGUGUAAGUAACUGUGCACAUCUUGACGGUACCUAAUCAGAAAGCCACGGCUAACUACGUG
RNAcentral lists this ribosomal RNA (497 nucleotides) under uncultured bacterium. Its description in RNAcentral is "partial 16S ribosomal RNA". It matches the Rfam family "Bacterial small subunit ribosomal RNA", at positions 28 to 507 of the family's 1533-position model. The record is from RNAcentral.